This 244-nucleotide unclassified non-coding RNA is filed under the name Hevea brasiliensis (rubber tree). The record is from RNAcentral. Lineage: Eukaryota; Viridiplantae; Streptophyta; Magnoliopsida; Malpighiales; Euphorbiaceae.
AGGAACAUUCAGCUGUGACGAAGGAGCUGAUUGGACUGUCAAUGGUGAAAUCAUGGGAUCAUCCAUAGAGGAAUGUACAUCAGAGAAACUCUAGAAAGAGAAAGAGAAAGAGAGGAGUGAGGUUGAAGAAGACGGGUGGGAUUGGGUUUGGGUGCUGGCGGGUAUAGGGUAGAAAUAUUUGAGACCGUUCGGUAUCAGGCUAUUGAUUUUCCCGGGAAAUAAUUGUUAACAGACAGAGGCACGG